Molecule: ribosomal RNA, 497 nt
Filed under: uncultured bacterium
Lineage: Bacteria
Description: partial 16S ribosomal RNA
Rfam family: Bacterial small subunit ribosomal RNA
Source: RNAcentral
GAUGAACGCUGGCGGCGUGCCUAAUACAUGCAAGUCGAGCGAACAGACGAGGAGCUUGCUCCUCUGACGUUAGCGGCGGACGGGUGAGUAACACGUGGAUAACCUACCUAUAAGACUGGGAUAACUUCGGGAAACCGGAGCUAAUACCGGAUAAUAUAUUGAACCGCAUGGUUCAAUAGUGAAAGACGGUUUUGCUGUCACUUAUAGAUGGAUCCGCGCCGCAUUAGCUAGUUGGUAAGGUAACGGCUUACCAAGGCAACGAUGCGUAGCCGACCUGAGAGGGUGAUCGGCCACACUGGAACGGAGACACGGUCCAGACUCCUACGGGAGGCAGCAGUAGGGAAUCUUCCGCAAUGGGCGAAAGCCUGACGGAGCAACGCCGCGUGAGUGAUGAAGGUCUUCGGAUCGUAAAACUCUGUUAUUAGGGAAGAGCAAAUGUGUAAGUAACUAUGCACGUCUUGACGGUACCUAAUCAGAAAGCCACGGCUAACUACGUG